CAAUAGCGUAUAUUUAAGUUGCUGCAGUUAAAAAGCUCGUAGUUGGAUUUCGGGUGGGAAUGGCCGGUCCGCCGUUUCGGUGUGCACUUGCUACGCCCACCUUGCUGCCGGGGACGUGCUCUUGAGUUCACGCUCGGGACACGGAGUCGGCGAGGUUACUUUGAGUCAAUUAGAGUGUUCAAAGCAGGCCUACGCUCUGAAUACAUUAGCAUGGAAUAACACGAUAGGACUCUGGCCUAUCUUGUUGGUCUGUAGGACCGGAGUAAUGAUUAAGAGGGACAGUCGGGGGCAUUCGUAUUUCAUUGUCAGAGGUGAAAUUCUUGGAUUUAUGAAAGACGAACUACUGCGAAAGCAUUUGCCAAGGAUGUUUUCAUUAA
RNAcentral lists this ribosomal RNA (377 nucleotides) under uncultured eukaryote. Its description in RNAcentral is "partial 18S ribosomal RNA". It matches the Rfam family "Eukaryotic small subunit ribosomal RNA", at positions 592 to 976 of the family's 1831-position model. The record is from RNAcentral.